RNAcentral lists this ribosomal RNA (447 nucleotides) under uncultured bacterium. RNAcentral describes it as "bacterial SSU rRNA". It matches the Rfam family "Bacterial small subunit ribosomal RNA", at positions 329 to 792 of the family's 1533-position model. The record is from RNAcentral.
GUCCAGACUCCUACGGGAGGCAGCAGUGGGGAAUAUUGCACAAUGGGGGAAACCCUGAUGCAGCGACGCCGCGUGAGUGAAGAAGUAUUUCGGUAUGUAAAGAUCUAUCAGCAGGGAAGAAGAAAGACGGUACCUGACUAAGAAGCCCCGGCUAACUACGUGCCAGCAGCCGCGGUAAUACGUAGGGGGCAAGCGUUAUCCGGAUUUACUGGGUGUAAAGGGAGCGUAGACGGCUGUGCAAGUCUGAAGUGAAAGCCCAGGGCUCAACCCUGGGACUGCUUUGGAAACUGGCAUGCUGGAGUGCCGGAGGGGCAAGCGGAAUUCCUAGUGUAGCGGUGAAAUGCGUAGAUAUUAGGAGGAACACCGGUGGCGAAGGCGGCUUGCUGGACGGUAACUGACGUUGAGGCUCGAAAGCGUGGGGAGCAAACAGGAUUAGAUACCCGAGUA